RNAcentral lists this ribosomal RNA (285 nucleotides) under Galapaganus conwayensis. RNAcentral describes it as "partial 12S ribosomal RNA". The record is from RNAcentral. Lineage: Eukaryota; Metazoa; Arthropoda; Insecta; Coleoptera; Curculionidae.
AGAGGAACCUGUCCUGUAAUCGAUGAUCCACGAUUUAUUUCCCUUAUUUUANAAGNNUGCAUAUCGCCGUAGAUGGAAUGUCCUUUAAGGGUUUAUAAACAUUCAAGAGGUUUUUAUUUGNGAAAGUAAAUCAGGUCAAGAUGUAGCUAUAAAUAAGAAGAGANGGGUUANAAUAAAUUUAUUUAUAACGGAUUAAUAUAUGAAAUUUAUUAUAAAGGGGGAUUUGAAGGAAAUUUUAUAUAAAUUUUUUNAAUGAUUCUAGCUCUAAAAUAUGUANANANCGCC